CCUACGGGUGGCAGCAGUGGGGAAUAUUGCACAAUGGGGGAAACCCUGAUGCAGCGACGCCGCGUGAGUGAAGAAGUAUUUCGGUACGUAAAGCCCUAUCAGCAGGGAAGAAAAUGACGGUACCUGACUAAGAAGCCCCGGCUAACUACGGGCCAGCAGCCGCGGUAAUACGUCGGGGGCCAGCGUUAUCCGGAUUUACUGGGUGUAAAGGGAGCGUAGACGGCAGCGCAAGUCUGGAGUGAAAUCCCAUGGCUUAACCAUGGAACUGCUUUGGAAACUGUGCAGCUAGAGUGCAGGAGAGGUAAGCGGAAUUCCUAGUGUAGCGGUGAAAUGCGUAGAUAUUAGGAGGAACACCAGUGGCGAAGGCGGCUUACUGGACUGUAACUGACGUUGAGGCUCGAAAGCGUGGGGAGCAAACAGGAUUAGAUACCCGUGUAGUC
Molecule: ribosomal RNA, 440 nt
Filed under: uncultured bacterium
Lineage: Bacteria
Description: partial 16S ribosomal RNA
Rfam family: Bacterial small subunit ribosomal RNA
Source: RNAcentral